GAUGAACGCUAGCGGCAGGCCUAACACAUGCAAGUCGAGGGUAGAACACUUCGGUGUUUGAGACCGGCGCACGGGUGCGUAACGCGUAUGCAAUCUACCUUGUACAGGGGAAUAGCCCAGAGAAAUUUGGAUUAAUGCCCCAUAGUAUAUAACCUUCGCAUGUUGGUUAUAUUAAAGUUCCAACGGUACAAGAUGAGCAUGCGUCCCAUUAGUUAGUUGGUAAGGUAACGGCUUACCAAGACGAUGAUGGGUAGGGGUCCUGAGAGGGAGAUCCCCCACACUGGUACUGAGACACGGACCAGACUCCUACGGGAGGCAGCAGUGAGGAAUAUUGGUCAAUGGUCGCAAGACUGAACCAGCCAUGCCGCGUGCAGGAAGACGGUCCUAUGGAUUGUAAACUGCUUUUAUACAGGAAGAAACCCUCCCACGUGUGGGAGCUUGACGGUACUGUAGGAAUAAGGAUCGGCUAACUCCGUG
RNAcentral lists this ribosomal RNA (477 nucleotides) under uncultured bacterium. RNAcentral's name for it is "bacterial SSU rRNA". It matches the Rfam family "Bacterial small subunit ribosomal RNA", at positions 28 to 507 of the family's 1533-position model. The record is from RNAcentral.